RNAcentral lists this ribosomal RNA (379 nucleotides) under uncultured eukaryote. Its description in RNAcentral is "partial 18S ribosomal RNA". It matches the Rfam family "Eukaryotic small subunit ribosomal RNA", at positions 592 to 976 of the family's 1831-position model. The record is from RNAcentral.
CAAUAGCGUAUAUUUAAGUUGUUGCAGUUAAAAAGCUCGUAGUUGGAUUUCGGAUGGGAUUUGCCGGUCCGUCGUUACGAUGUGCACUGGCCAGUCCUAUCUUGUUGUCGGGGACUAGCUCCUUGGAUUCACUUCCUGGGACUAGGAGCUGACGAGGUUACUUUGAGUAAAUUAGAGUGUUCAAAGCAAGCCUACGCUCUGAAUACAUUAGCAUGGAAUAACGCGAUAGGACUCUGGCUUAUCUUGUUGGUCUGUGAGACCAGAGUAAUGAUUAAGAGGGACAGUCGGGGACAUUCGUAUUUCAUUGUCAGAGGUGAAAUUCUUGGAUUUAUGAAAGACGAACUUCUGCGAAAGCAUUUGUCAAGGAUGUUUUCAUUAA